CUAUUUGGAAACGAUAGCUAAUACCGCAUAACAAUGGGUGACCCAUGUCAUUCAUUUAAAAGGGGCAACUGCUCCACUACAAGAUGGACCUGCGUUGUAUUAGCUAGUAGGUGAGGUAACGGCUCACCUAGGCGACGAUACAUAGCCGACCUGAGAGGGUGAUCGGCCACACUGGGACUGAGACACGGCCCAGACUCCUACGGGAGGCAGCAGUAGGGAAUCUUCGGCAAUGGGGGCAACCCUGACCGAGCAACGCCGCGUGAGUGAAGAAGGUUUUCGGAUCGUAAAGCUCUGUUGUUAGUCAAGAACGAGUGUGAGAGUGGAAAGUUCACACUGUGACGGUAGCUUACCAGAAAGGGACGGCUAACUACGUGCCAGCAGCCGCGGUAAUACGUAGGUCCCGAGCGUUGUCCGGAUUUAUUGGGCGUAAAGCGAGCGCAGGCGGUUUGAUAAGUCUGAAGUUAAAGGCUGUGGCUCAACCAUAGUUCGCUUUGGAAACUGUCAAACUUGAGUGCAGAAGGGGAGAGUGGAAUUCCAUGUGUAGCGGUGAAAUGCGUAGAUAUAUGGAGGAACACCGGUGGCGAAAGCGGCUCUCUGGUCUGUAACUGACGCUGAGGCUCGAAAGCGUGGGGAGCGAACAGGAUUAGAUACCCUGUAGUCCACGCCGUAAACGAUGAGUGCUAGGUGUUGGGUCCUUUCCGGGAUUCAG
This 709-nucleotide ribosomal RNA is filed under the name uncultured Streptococcus sp. Its description in RNAcentral is "bacterial SSU rRNA". It matches the Rfam family "Bacterial small subunit ribosomal RNA", at positions 147 to 843 of the family's 1533-position model. Lineage: Bacteria; Bacillati; Bacillota; Bacilli; Lactobacillales; Streptococcaceae. The record is from RNAcentral.